AAGGUUAGAGAGAAGAACAAUUACGCUUAAGGAAUUAACAUCAAGCAAGCCAUGGAUCAAGGUAUGUUUCAUAUAUUAUAUUUGUGUUACUGAAUCUAGAAUCCUAAUAAAAUUGUGUUGAUUUAAUUCGUAAUUGUGAUAUUGUGGCUAAUUAUAGAUAUUUCUUAUAAUUUUAAAAACAUGUUAAGGAUUAGAUUAAGGGUAUAAUUUAAUCUAACACAAACUGCACACCUUGGCAGAUGAUGGAGCAAUUAUCGUGGAUCCAAAAGCGAUCCUGGAUACAAGAUGGGUCAAGAAAGGAUCAAGCUUUGUAGAGGAAAAUCUUGUCAAAUAGAAGAGACUAGCUGCAGAAGACGUCACUUAGGAAAAUGCACGAGAAUUUAAGCACAAUUUUUUUAAUGUGAACCUUCAAGAAAAAGGGGGAGGUAUUGAUAAGCCAAGAAGAUGUACCCAUCAAGAAUCCCAAGUUCAUUGAUUAAUCUUGCUUAAGCCAUACAUGAACACAGUCCAUGUGAACAGUAAUCUUGUUUGAGCCACAUGAACAAUUGUUGUUGUUUUUUUCAAUAAUAAUAGGUCAAGUUGUUAGCUAGUAAUUUGCAUUCUGCUAUUUGAAUAAUUGUUGGCUAAUUUGUUGCCACUAGUUGUUGAGGUCCUUCAGUUAAGAGUUAUCCGCUCCAAAAUAGGAAAAGUUGUUGAGUUAUUUUUUGUAUUUAAACUCGGUCAAUUGACCAUAGCAAAUUAUUAAAUUAAUUAAAAAAAGAUAUCAAA
RNAcentral lists this long non-coding RNA (768 nucleotides) under Ricinus communis (castor bean). RNAcentral describes it as "long non-coding RNA (RCOM_LNC002220)". Lineage: Eukaryota; Viridiplantae; Streptophyta; Magnoliopsida; Malpighiales; Euphorbiaceae. The record is from RNAcentral.